This 1439-nucleotide ribosomal RNA is filed under the name uncultured bacterium. Its description in RNAcentral is "bacterial SSU rRNA". It matches the Rfam family "Bacterial small subunit ribosomal RNA". The record is from RNAcentral.
AGGGUUUGAUCAUGGCUCAGAACGUACGCUGGCGGCACGCCUAACACAUGCAAGUCGAACGAAGUAGCAAUACUUAGUGGCAGACGGGUGAGUAACAUGUAGGUAUCUACCCUUUGGCCUGGAAUAACACGAGGAAACUUGUGCUAAUACCGGAUAAGUCUUUACGGAGAAAGCUUUAUGCACCAUUGGAUGAGCCUGCACUUGAUUAGUUUGUUGGUAGGGUAAUGGCCUACCAAGACUGUGAUCAAUAGCUGAUUUGAGAGGAUGAUCAGCCACAUUGGGACUGAGACACGGCCCAAACUCCUACGGGAGGCAGCAGUGGGGAAUCUUGCACAAUGGAGGAAACUCUGAUGCAGCGAUGCCGCGUGAGUGAAGAAGGCCCUUGGGUUGUAAAGCUCUUUCGUCGGGGAAGAAAAUGACUGUACCCGAAUAAGAAGGUCCGGCUAACUUCGUGCCAGCAGCCGCGGUAAUACGAAGGGACCUAGCGUAGUUCGGAAUUACUGGGCUUAAAGAGUUCGUAGGUGGUUGAAAUAGUUGGUGGUGAAAUCCCAGAGCUUAACUCUGGAACUGCCAUCAAAACUUUUCAGCUAGAGUUUGAUAGAGGAAAGCAGAAUUUCUAGUGUAGAGGUGAAAUUCGUAGAUAUUAGAAAGAAUACCAAUUGCGAAGGCAGCUUUCUGGAUCAUUACUGACACUGAGGAACGAAAGCAUGGGUAGCGAAGAGGAUUAGAUACCCUCGUAGUCCAUGCCGUAAACGAUGUGUGUUAGACGUUGGAAAUUUAUUUUCAGUGUCGCAGCGAAAGCGAUAAACACACCGCCUGGGGAGUACGACCGCAAGGUUAAAACUCAAAUGAAUUGACGGGGACCCGCACAAGUAGUGGAGCAUGUGGUUUAAUUCGAAGAUACGCGCAGAACCUUACCAACACUUGACAUGUUCGUCGCGACUUUAAGAGAUUAAAGUUUUCGGUUCGGCCGGACGAAACACAGGUGCUGCAUGGCUGUCGUCAGCUCGUGUCGUGAGAUGUUGGGUUAAGUCCCGCAACGAGCGCAACCCUCACUUUUAGUUGCCAUCAUUUAGUUGGGCACUCUGAAAGAACUGCCAGUGAUAAGCUGGAGGAAGGUGGGGAUGACGUCAAGUCCUCAUGGCCCUUACGUGUUGGGCUACACACGUGCUACAAUGGUAUUUACAACAGGAAGCAAGACAGCGAUGUUAAGCAAAUCCUUAAAAGAUACCUCAGUUCGGAUUGCACUCUGCAACUCGAGUGCAUGAAGCUGGAAUUACUAGUAAUCGUGGAUCAGCGUGCCACGGUGAAUGCGUUCCCGGGUCUUGUACACACCGCCCGUCACACCAUGGGAGUUGGUUCUACCUUAAGGCAAGGCAUAAAACCCUUGACUACGGUAUAGUCAGCGACUGGGGUGAAGUCGUAACAAGGUAACCGUA